This 465-nucleotide ribosomal RNA is filed under the name Triticum aestivum (bread wheat). RNAcentral describes it as "partial small subunit ribosomal RNA". The record is from RNAcentral. Lineage: Eukaryota; Viridiplantae; Streptophyta; Magnoliopsida; Poales; Poaceae.
AUGCACAUUAUAAUGUUCUUAGCAAGUAAUGUAAGCCUAUUUUUUUCUUUGGCAUACAUACAUUGGAGACGGAGUAUAUUAGUACCAAUCUUCAAGAACAAGUGGGAUGUUCAGAGUUGUACUAAUUACCGUGGAAUUAAGCUGAUGAGCCAUACAAUGAAGCUAUGGGAGAGAGUCAUUGAGCACCGCUUAAGAAAAAUGACAAGCGUGACCAAAAAUCAGUUUGGUUUCAUGCCUGGGAGGUCGACCAUGGAAGCCAUUUUCUUGGUACAACAACUUAUGGAGAGAUAUAGGGAGCAAAAGAAGGACUUGCAUAUGGUGUUCAUUGACUUGGAGAAGGCCUAUGAUAAGAUACCGCGGAAUGUCAUGUGGUGGGCCUUGGAGAAACACAAAGUCCCAGCAAAGUACAUUACCCUCAUCAAGGACAUGUACGAUAAUGUUGUGACAAGUGUUCGAACAAGUUGA